Non-coding RNA from Mycena leptocephala, 86 nucleotides. NCBI's taxonomy places the organism in Eukaryota, Fungi, Basidiomycota, Agaricomycetes, Agaricales, Mycenaceae. The record is from the annotation of a GenBank genome assembly.
GCGUCCUUGGUGUAACGGUAACACGCAUUCACUUGCCGGCUUUUAGCCACUUCGAAUGGCCCGGGGUUCGACUCCCCGAGGACACC